GAUGAACGCUGGCGGCGUGCUUAACACAUGCAAGUCGAGCGAUGGAAGUUUCCUCCGGGAAACGGAUUAGCGGCGGACGGGUGAGUAACGCGUGGGUAACCUGCCUCAUACAGGGGGAUAACAGUUAGAAAUGACUGCUAAUACCGCAUAAGCGCACGGUAUCGCAUGAUACAGUGUGAAAAGCCGAGACGGUAUGAGAUGGACCCGCGGCGCAUUAGCUAGUUGGUGGGGUAACGGCCUACCAAGGCGACGAUGCGUAGCCGACCUGAGAGGGUGAUCGGCCACAUUGGGACUGAGACACGGCCCAG
RNAcentral lists this ribosomal RNA (308 nucleotides) under uncultured bacterium. Its description in RNAcentral is "bacterial SSU rRNA". It matches the Rfam family "Bacterial small subunit ribosomal RNA", at positions 28 to 334 of the family's 1533-position model. The record is from RNAcentral.